UACAGAGGUCUCAAGCGUUGUUCGGAUUCAUUGGGCGUAAAGGGUGCGUAGGCGGCGCGGUAAGUCGGAUGUGAAAUCUCGGAGCUUAACUUCGAAACUGCAUUCGAUACUGCCGUGCUUGAGGACUGGAGAGGAGACUGGAAUUUACGGUGUAGCGGUGAAAUGCGUAGAUAUCGUAAGGAAGACCAGUGGCGAAGGCGGGUCUCUGGACAGUUCCUGACGCUGAGGCACGAAAGCGUGGGGAGCAAACGGG
This 253-nucleotide ribosomal RNA is filed under the name uncultured bacterium. RNAcentral describes it as "partial 16S ribosomal RNA". It matches the Rfam family "Bacterial small subunit ribosomal RNA", at positions 524 to 776 of the family's 1533-position model. The record is from RNAcentral.